RNAcentral lists this ribosomal RNA (463 nucleotides) under uncultured bacterium. RNAcentral's name for it is "partial 16S ribosomal RNA". It matches the Rfam family "Bacterial small subunit ribosomal RNA", at positions 28 to 507 of the family's 1533-position model. The record is from RNAcentral.
GAUGAACGCUGACAGAAUGCUUAACACAUGCAAGUCGAUGGGGAAGUGGUGCUUGCACCAUGGCAACCAUGGCGGACGGGUGAGUAACGCGUAAGGGACUUACCUGCAGGACUGGGAUAACAGGGGGAAACUCCUGAGAAGACCGGAUAAUGUCAUGGAGCUGCAUGGCUUUAUGAUGAAAGGAGACGCCUGCGGAGAGCCUUGCGUCCUAUUAGCUAGUUGGUGAGGUAAUGGCUCACCAAGGCGAAGAUAGGUAGCCGGCCUGAGAGGGUGGACGGCCACAAGGGGACUGAGAUACGGCCCUUACUCCUACGGGAGGCAGCAGUGGGGAAUAUUGGACAAUGGGGGCAACCCUGAUCCAGCAAUUCUGUGUGCACGAAGAAGGUUUUCGGAUUGUAAAGUGCUUUCAGCAGGGAAGAAGUAAGUGACGGUACCUGCAGAAGAAGCGACGGCUAAAUACGUG